AGCUGCAGUCGAGAUCUUUCGCAUGGGCGCAAGCCUGACGAAGCGACGCCGUGUGAGUGAAGAAGGCCUUCGGGUUGUAAAGCUCUUUCGCUAGGGAACAAGAAAGGCGGGAUAACACCCCGCUGAUUUGAUGGUACUUGGUAAAGAAGCACCGGCUAACUCCA
RNAcentral lists this ribosomal RNA (164 nucleotides) under uncultured Chlamydiales bacterium. Its description in RNAcentral is "partial 16S ribosomal RNA". It matches the Rfam family "Bacterial small subunit ribosomal RNA", at positions 347 to 505 of the family's 1533-position model. The record is from RNAcentral. Lineage: Bacteria; Pseudomonadati; Chlamydiota; Chlamydiia; Chlamydiales.